RNAcentral lists this ribosomal RNA (497 nucleotides) under uncultured bacterium. Its description in RNAcentral is "partial 16S ribosomal RNA". It matches the Rfam family "Bacterial small subunit ribosomal RNA", at positions 28 to 507 of the family's 1533-position model. The record is from RNAcentral.
GAUGAACGCUGGCGGCGUGCCUAAUACAUGCAAGUCGAGCGAACAGACGAGGAGCUUGCUCCUCUGACGUUAGCGGCGGACGGGUGAGUAACACGUGGAUAACCUACCUAUAAGACUGGGAUAACUUCGGGAAACCGGAGCUAAUACCGGAUAAUAUAUUGAACCGCAUGGUUCAAUAGUGAAAGACGGUUUUGCUGUCACUUAUAGAUGGAUCCGCGCCGCAUUAGCUAGUUGGUAAGGUAACGGCUUACCAAGGCAACGAUGCGUAGCCGACCUGAGAGGGUGAUCGGCCACACUGGAACUGAGACACGGUCCAGACUCCUACGGGAGGCAGCAGUAGGGAAUCUUCCGCAGUGGGCGAAAGCCUGACGGAGCAACGCCGCGUGAGUGAUGAAGGUCUUCGGAUCGUAAAACUCUGUUAUUAGGGAAGAACAAAUGUGUAAGUAAAUAUGCACGUCUUGACGGUACCUAAUCAGAAAGCCACGGCUAACUACGUG